GACGAACGCUGGCGGCGUGCCUAAUACAUGCAAGUUGAGCGCUGAAGGUUGGUACUUGUACCGACUGGAUGAGCAGCGAACGGGUGAGUAACGCGUGGGGAAUCUGCCUUCGAGCGGGGGACAACAUUUGGAAACGAAUGCUAAUACCGCAUAAAAACUUUAAACACAAGUUUUAAGUUUGAAAGAUGCAAUUGCUUCACUCAAAGAUGAUCCCGCGUUGGAUUAGCUAGUUGGUGAGGUAAAGGCUCACCAAGGCGAUGAUACAUAGCCGACCUGAGAGGGUGAUCGGCCACCUUGGGACUGAGACACGGCCCAAACUCCUACGGGAGGCAGCAGUAGGGAAUCUUCGGCAAUGGACGAAAGUCUGACCGAGCAACGCCGCGUGAGUGAAGAAGGUUUUCGGAUCGUAAAACUCUGUUGGUAGAGAAGAACGUUGGUGAGAGUGGAAAGCUCAUCAAGUGACGGUAACUACCCAGAAAGGGACGGCUAACUACGUG
Molecule: ribosomal RNA, 497 nt
Filed under: uncultured bacterium
Lineage: Bacteria
Description: partial 16S ribosomal RNA
Rfam family: Bacterial small subunit ribosomal RNA
Source: RNAcentral